Molecule: ribosomal RNA, 247 nt
Filed under: uncultured Candidatus Saccharibacteria bacterium
Lineage: Bacteria; Candidatus Saccharimonadota
Description: partial 16S ribosomal RNA
Rfam family: Bacterial small subunit ribosomal RNA
Source: RNAcentral
CACGCUGUAAACGAUGGAUACUAGCUGUUGGAGGUAUCGACCCCUUCAGUAGCGAAGCUAACGCGUUAAGUAUCCCGCCUGUGGAGUACGGUCGCAAGACUAAAACAUAAAGGAAUUGACGGGGACCCGCACAAGCGGUGGAGCGUGUUCUUUAAUUCGAAGUUAAACGAUAAACCUUACCUGGGUUUGACAUCCUUGGAAUAUCUGUGAAAGCAGAUAGUGUCUUCGGAAACCAAGAGACAGGUGA